CUUCCCCAUGAUUGUGUAGCCUAAUGAACCAAACAGAGAGACCUUUGCAGGUGUUUUGAGUUGAUUAGCUGAUUGGCAUGUCACCAUAUUCUAACUUGUUGAGAUGCUGAAUUGGUGGGUUUUUGUUUAAUGUGAGCCAAAUCAUCACAAUUAAAAGAAGAAAAGAAUUAAACUACUUCAGUCUGUGUGCAUUGAAUUCUUUUACAGUUUUUUCUGAAUGCUUAAGCGCUAAUCGUGAUUCUUGUAGCACAAUUUCUAAAACUAUUAAUACGUAUAGCAAAACCACUCACUGAGUUUGCAAAACUAAAAGCACAAACACUGCUUUGCACUCAGUUUGCAAUUUUGUAACACACACUUUGCAAAACUGUAGGCACAAUUCACUGCACAACACUCUUUUUGCAGAACUUUAAACACAACUCACUGCUUACACUCAAUUACCAAAUUUCCAACACACUCCUAGCAAAAUUAUACACAUGUAUGGCUAUCAUUAAACUAUUUUGCCAACUGUCUGGCACACUUUUACAUGUGAAAACUGUUUUAGAUAAUUAGUUCACUUUGCAGUCAGCCUAAGCACUAUAAAUAAGCCACAGGUAAGCUGUCUGUGUGUAGUACAAUGGAAGGAGCAGUAAGAGUGAGAAGAGUGAGAAUCAGAGGAGGCCGAGGGAGAGGACGUGGAGGUGAAGAAGUUGGAGGAAGAGAACGUGGAGUUGAAGAAGCGAGAGGGUUAGAGGAAGUUAGAGGUAGAGGACAAGGAGGAGCAAGAAGAGGACGAGGAGGGGAAAGAGGAAGGGUAAGAAGAGUAAGAAAUAGAAUAACUGAUGACAUCAGAGCUACAAUAGUGGACCAUGUCAUCAACCAUGGGAUGACCCUGAGGGAAGCUGGCCAACGGGUUCAGCCUAAUUUGAGCCGCUACACUGUGGCAAGCAUCAUUAGGACAUUUCGAAACGAGAAUCGGUAAGUACUUUGUAGCACUGCCAUACUCUAAUGAGAAACACAACAGUACCAUACAUGCAAAAAUACUGAAAUUGUUACUUUACAGAAUUGCUAGACGUCCAGAUGUUGGGGGCAGAGGAAGAAUGUUCACUCCAGAGCAAGAGACCCAUAUAGUGAACAUGGUGAUUGCCAAUAAUGCAAUAAGACUGCGCGAAAUACAGCAGCACAUAAUUGAUAAUGACACCAUCUUUCAAAAUAUACACAGUGUAAGCAUUUCUGCACUAAGUCGUGUACUUGCGUGCCACAGAAUAAGAAUGAAGCAAAUUUACAGAGUUCCUUUCGAGAGAAACACAGAACGUGUAAAGCAACUGCGAUAUGACUAUGUGCAGAGAGUGAUGGAACUAGAAGCAGAUGCCUUGGGACAUGAGCUACUUUUUGUAGAUGAGGCCGGUUUUAACCUCAGUAAAACCAGGAGACGUGGCAGGAACAUUACUGGACACCGUGCCAUCAUCAAUGUCCCAGGACAACGUGGUGGUAACAUAACCAUGUGUGCAGCUAUAAGCCAAAAUGGUGUUGUUCACCAUCAUGCAACCAUAGGCCCAUACAACACUGCACACAUUAUUGCAUUCCUGGACACCUUACAUGACAUGCUCACUGUUCAGAGACCAGAGAAUACCCGAUAUGUCAUCAUAUGGGACAAUGUUAAUUUCCAUAGGGCUGCUUUGGUCCGCAACUGGUUUACAGACCACCCAUCCUUCAUGGCACUCAACCUCCCUCCAUACUCUCCAUUCUUAAAUCCCAUCGAGGAGUUCUUCUCUGCCUGGCGCUGGAAAGUGUACGACCGUCAUCCUCAUCAACAGGUAGCCCUUUUACAGGCAAUGGAGGAGGCAUGUGGAGAUAUUGACCAGGCAUCAUGUCAGGCCUGGAUACGGCAUUCAAGGAGAUAUUUUCCCCGGUGCCUUGGACUGGAGGAUAUCGCAUGCAAUGUGGAUGAAAUUUUGUGGCCGGACCAAGAAAGACGACAU
Molecule: long non-coding RNA, 1958 nt
Organism: Cyprinus carpio carpio
Lineage: Eukaryota; Metazoa; Chordata; Actinopteri; Cypriniformes; Cyprinidae
Source: Ensembl